GACGAACGCUGGCGGCGUGCUUAACACAUGCAAGUCGAACGGAAAGGCCCUGCUUUUGUGGGGUGCUCGAGUGGCGAACGGGUGAGUAACACGUGAGUAACCUGCCCUUGACUUUGGGAUAACUUCAGGAAACUGGGGCUAAUACCGGAUAGGAGCUCCUGCUGCAUGGUGGGGGUUGGAAAGUUUCGGCGGUUGGGGAUGGACUCGCGGCUUAUCAGCUUGUUGGUGGGGUAGUGGCUUACCAAGGCUUUGACGGGUAGCCGGCCUGAGAGGGUGACCGGCCACAUUGGGACUGAGAUACGGCCCAGACUCCUACGGGAGGCAGCAGUGGGGAAUAUUGCACAAUGGGAGGAAGCCUGAUGCAGCAACGCCGCGUGCGGGAUGACGGCCUUCGGGCUGUAAACCGCUUUCGCCUGUGACGAAGCGUGAGUGACGGUAAUGGGUAAAGAAGCACCGGCUAACUACGUG
Molecule: ribosomal RNA, 468 nt
Filed under: uncultured bacterium
Lineage: Bacteria
Description: partial 16S ribosomal RNA
Rfam family: Bacterial small subunit ribosomal RNA
Source: RNAcentral